Molecule: ribosomal RNA, 936 nt
Filed under: uncultured Bacteroidota bacterium
Lineage: Bacteria; Pseudomonadati; Bacteroidota
Description: uncultured Bacteroidetes bacterium partial 16S ribosomal RNA
Source: RNAcentral
GAGUUUGAUCAUGGCUCAGGAUGAACGCUAGCGGCAGGCUUAAUACAUGCAAGUCGAGGGGCAGCAGCUUUAUAGCAAUAUAGAGGCUGGCGACCGGCAAACGGGUGCGGAACACGUACACAACCUUCCUUGAAUAGGGGGAUAGCCCAUAGAAAUGUGGAUUAAUACCCCGUAAUAUAGCGGUGUGGCAUCACACUGUUAUUAUAGUUUCGGCGAUUCGAGAUGGGUGUGCGGCUGAUUAGGUAGUUGGCGGGGUAAAGGCCCACCAAGCCUUCGAUCAGUAGCUGAUGUGAGAGCAUGAUCAGCCACACGGGCACUGAGACACGGGCCCGACUCCUACGGGAGGCAGCAGUAAGGAAUAUUGGUCAAUGGACGCAAGUCUGAACCAGCCAUGCCGCGUGAAGGAUGAAGGUCCUCUGGAUUGUAAACUUCUUUUAUAGGGGGCGAAAAAAGGUCUUUCUAGAUCACUUGACAGUACCCUAUGAAUAAGCACCGGCUAACUCCGUGCCAGCAGCCGCGGUAAUACGGAGGGUGCAAGCGUUAUCCGGAUUCACUGGGUUUAAAGGGUGCGUAGGCGGGUAGGUAAGUCAGAGGUGAAAUCCUGGAGCUUAACUCCAGAACUGCCUUUGAUACUAUCUAUCUUGAAUAUGGUGGAGGUAAGCGGAAUAUGUCAUGUAGCGGUGAAAUGCAUAGAUAUGACAUAGAACACCUAUUGCGAAGGCAGCUUACUACGCCUAUWUUGACGCUGAGGCMCGAAAAGCGUGGGAUCAAACAGGAUUAGAWACYCUGKUAGUCCACGCCCUUAAMRAWGAAUACUCGACGUAUGCGAWUAMAAGUAKGCGYCUGAACGAAAGCAUUWARUWAUCCACCYUGGGAAGUACRACCGCMAKGUUKAAACUCAAMGGAAUUKGCCGUGGGGCUCYSUACACGGSGSWA